AAUGAACGCUGGCGGCAUGCCUUACACAUGCAAGUCGAACGGCAGCAUGACCUAGCUUGCUAGGUUGAUGGCGAGUGGCGCACGGGUGAGUAAUGCAUCGGAACGUGCCUUUUUGUGGGGGAUAACGUAGCGAAAGUUACGCUAAUACCGCAUAUUCUCUGAGGAGGAAAGCAGGGGACCUUCUGGCCUUGCGCUAGAAGAGCGGCCGAUGUCGGAUUAGCUAGUUGGUGAGGUAAAGGCUCACCAAGGCAACGAUCCGUAGCGGGCCUGAGAGGAUGAUCCGCCACACUGGGACUGAGACACGGCCCAGACUCCUACGGGAGGCAGCAGUGGGGAAUUUUGGACAAUGGGCGCAAGCCUGAUCCAGCCAUGCCGCGUGAGUGAAGAAGGCCUUCGGGUUGUAAAGCUCUUUCGGCUGGGAAGAAAUCGCACCCUCUAAUACAGGGUGUGGAUGACGGUACCAGCAUAAGAAGCACCGGCUAACUACGUG
Molecule: ribosomal RNA, 490 nt
Filed under: uncultured bacterium
Lineage: Bacteria
Description: partial 16S ribosomal RNA
Rfam family: Bacterial small subunit ribosomal RNA
Source: RNAcentral